RNAcentral lists this ribosomal RNA (253 nucleotides) under uncultured bacterium. Its description in RNAcentral is "partial 16S ribosomal RNA". It matches the Rfam family "Bacterial small subunit ribosomal RNA", at positions 524 to 776 of the family's 1533-position model. The record is from RNAcentral.
UACGGAGGGUGCAAACGUUGCUCGGAAUUAUUGGGCGUAAAGCGCACGUAGGCGGUCCAGCAAGUCGGGUGUGAAAGCCCUCGGCUUAACCGAGGAAGUGCAUUCGAAACUACUGGACUUGAAUACUGAAGAGGAUCGCGGAAUUCCCGGUGUAGAGGUGAAAUUCGUAGAUAUCGGGAGGAACACCAGUGGCGAAGGCGGCGAUCUGGGCAGAUAUUGACGCUGAUGUGCGAAAGCGUGGGUAGCAAACAGG